This 85-nucleotide non-coding RNA is filed under the name unclassified sequences. RNAcentral describes it as "RAGATH-18 RNA". It matches the Rfam family "RAGATH-18 RNA". Rfam says of the family: Actinobacteria, Firmicutes, Fusobacteria, Thermotogae (1 example). Nearby to self-cleaving ribozyme genes The record is from Rfam by way of RNAcentral.
CCUUGAAGAGCGUUAUAUCAAACGAGAGUAGUUUACUAUAGAUUUGUAUCUAUAGGCAACAAAAUCGGACGUGAUGAACAAGGAA